Molecule: long non-coding RNA, 1834 nt
Organism: Sinocyclocheilus anshuiensis
Lineage: Eukaryota; Metazoa; Chordata; Actinopteri; Cypriniformes; Cyprinidae
Source: Ensembl
UAGAAUUUGUAUUCCUUGUUUUCAUUAGACCUUGACGAGUGUAAGACAAAUGAGGCUCCGUGUUCAAAAACAGCCCUGUGUGUCAACACCUACGGGGGCUACAGGUGUGUGUGCAAUGGCACUGAUCUAAAGGAAGAAUCACAGUCAUGCAUAUUAGGUAAGAGCAUCCCCAGAAAACAGUGUUCAUGCUCAGUGUGAGUCUGGUCAUUACAUUUUUCAUAAAAAUUAUUUUUUUCCUCAGACUGGAACAGCGUUAACCGCACAGACAUGUCGGGUGCUCAGACUACGGAAGAUAAGAAGUCACUAAUUUUGGGGCUGGUCCUGGGAAUUGGUAUUCCCCUCCUGUUGCUGCUGUUGCUGGCGGCCCUCGCCUGCUUCUGCUGCUGCUCACGCAAGAAAACCAUCUCUGGGGAUAUUCCUCAUCUGCUGCCCGAGUACAUUCAGGAGCAAUUCAACCCUCCGUUCAACUUUGACGACCCCUCUCUGCACUACAUCACCCACGUCAGCCCGCGUAUCCUUGACAACCUCACACCUCAACAGAAGCGCCGGUACCGAUAACACAGGCCCUGUGCGGUUCAUGCAGCAUCAGUGCAGAUGUAUAUAUCUGUACAUUUGUGUGAUCUCAAUAUGAUAUUAUUUAUAUUAAAAAGAGACUGCUGACUUUUAGUCAUGUGUGAAAGUGAAAGAGCACCAGACAUGCAAAAGAAACAUGGCGCGAUCUGUGAGCAACAAGUUCUGCUGAAUUAUUGCCGCAGUUAUUUGAAGAUACUAACUCUUGUGAAGAAAAUAAUGUGCAUAUGUAUGCAUUACAGUAAUAAAAAUAGUGGUAAAAUAUGCUUUAAUGUUAUGAAAUAAUGUCAAAUACCACAAAAAAAAACACCUUAGUUUGGGGGUGAAAUAUGGCAUUCUUCAAGGAAUUUGAAAUAAUGGUCAAUAAGAUCUUACACAUAAGUGAAAUGUUUCUCUGGUCAGAAUUAUCCUCUUGAAAGCAAAGCAGCUGAAUGUAUGUACAGUAUGUUGUCUAUAAGCAAACAUAUGGCACCAUCAAACCCACUCAAACACUUUUUCUUAAAAUACUUAGCAAUGGUUAUGAUAUUUCUAUACCCACUACGUUUUUCCUCAAAUAAAAUAAAAUAAAAAUCAUCAAUGCCAUGGGAUCAGUUUGAAUUCAAAUCAAAUGCAUUUAUUCAUCUUUUAUAUUUAAGGUCUCUGAGACCCCAAACAAAAGUCAUAUGUUUCCUUGCAGGUUGUUUGAAGUGAGUUAUUGAGUUAUCUACUUGGUUCUUCAAUUUCAAGUAUGAUAUUUGAGCCUUUAAUAAAUCCUUGGGGUCUCUGAGUCCCCCAAAACAACAUGAUCUUCUCACUUUCAUGAGAGCAGAAAUAUCCUUUUACAUGUAAAUAUGUCAUUGUAUUGUAUAACUUGAGAGGUGUAACCUGGGUGGACGACUGUCACUUAGCUAUGUUCCAGCUUUGCAGGUUACCUGGAAACAACUGGCUUCUAUACACAACCCUUUUUUCCAUUCAGAUAAGACUUGUUGACAUCCAUUCUCUCUUAUUCCAUUUGUAGUGACAUUGUUUAAUGGCAUGAAGUAAUGUCAGCUGGGGAUCAAAAUUGAUGCCUAGUUGAAUCUGCAUUUGCCACACAGAAGCAGUAAACUCUUAAAAGAAAGAGCUAUUGGCUGCCCUUAUGGUCCUGCCAUUGGACUCUGCACUUUGCAUGUGUUUAUCUCCCAGCCAUAAAACAAUAAAGUUUAGGAUGUGAACUAAGCUCUUUCAUGCUCCGGUCUUAUCUCCCCUUUACGUCAUUUCUGCAAGCCCUUGACUUGCUUUUUGC